Long non-coding RNA from Neogale vison (American mink), 566 nucleotides. RefSeq lists it as uncharacterized. The record is from RefSeq and is a predicted model, not a curated record. Lineage: Eukaryota; Metazoa; Chordata; Mammalia; Carnivora; Mustelidae. The transcript is spliced from 3 exons.
UCCUGAAGCUCCGACAUGAAAUGCACUGGCUUGGUGUCGUCUAACUUCAAAUACAUCCAGCAUAAAGGUAGGGUCACCGGCUAGCACGUUUGCUUACAAGUUCCGCACUUUGCAGAACUGACGCUUCUCGCCCAAAUAUCUACGAUCAGAGGUUUCUCCGGGGUCUAUGUUCCCGUGCUUGUGUCCCCCAAUCCCUCCGGAACAGAAGCUAGCCAGCACAAACCAACCGGCAAUCAGGCGAUCACUGGUUUCAUCAACAGGUGCAAAGGAAAACGAGCACCAGGUGUGUAUGCACAGCCCCGGAGACCUCCAUCAGGCUCCCAAACCAACCUGGCUCUUCUCACCCCAACCUGCUCACCUUGAGAAGGCUAUGGGUCAGGCUCUGUCUCUGGAGCAUGUUCCGGAAGGAGUUGUCCCCAGUGGCCAGCGGGACACUGUGGUGCCCCUUACAGACAUUCAUGAAAGACUGGGAAUGACCAGAUAUUCAAUCCACUGUGGACAACCACCCAGCAUCACAUCGUUCGAAGCUCUGCCUAGCGCCACGCUGUCCAUACUGUAGAAACUUU